GAUGAACGCUGGCGGCGUGCUUAACACAUGCAAGUCGAGCGAAGCGCUUUGGCGGAUUUCUUCGGAUUGAAGCCUUGGUGACUGAGCGGCGGACGGGUGAGUAACGCGUGGGUAACCUGCCUCAUACAGGGGGAUAACAGUUGGAAACGACCGCUAAUACCGCAUAAGCGCACAGUACCGCAUGGUACGGUGUGAAAAACUCCGGUGGUAUGAGAUGGACCCGCGUCUGAUUAGGUAGUUGGUGGGGUAACGGCCUACCAAGCCGACGAUCAGUAGCCGACCUGAGAGGGUGACCGGCCACAUUGGGACUGAGACACGGCCCAAACUCCUACGGGAGGCAGCAGUGGGGAAUAUUGCACAAUGGGGGAAACCCUGAUGCAGCGACGCCGCGUGAGCGAAGAAGUAUUUCGGUAUGUAAAGCUCUAUCAGCAGGGAAGAAGAUGACGGUACCUGACUAAGAAGCACCGGCUAAAUACGUGCCAGCAGCCGCGGUAAUACGUAUGGUGCAAGCGUUAUCCGGAUUUACUGGGUGUAAAGGGAGCGUAGACGGUUGUGUAAGUCUGAUGUGAAAGCCCGGGGCUCAACCCCGGGACUGCAUUGGAAACUAUGUAACUAGAGUGUCGGAGAGGUAAGCGGAAUUCCUAGUGUAGCGGUGAAAUGCGUAGAUAUUAGGAGGAACACCAGUGGCGAAGGCGGCUUACUGGACGAUCACUGACGUUGAGGCUCGAAAGCGUGGGNAGCANACAGG
This 748-nucleotide ribosomal RNA is filed under the name uncultured bacterium. RNAcentral describes it as "bacterial SSU rRNA". It matches the Rfam family "Bacterial small subunit ribosomal RNA", at positions 28 to 776 of the family's 1533-position model. The record is from RNAcentral.